UCAUAUCCUUGGGAGGCAGUUUGCUCCAAGAGAUGCAUCUUGCUUUCAGAACACAUUCCCAUUGACUUUUUUUUUUAAACACAAAACAAUCAUUUAUUGCUGACUGAGCUCAGGAGGUGGUUCUCACUGGGGGUCUCUUGUGAGGAUGCAAUAAGACAUUGAUGGGAGGUGCAGUCAUCUCAAAGGCUGUCUGUUGAUGCUGUCUGUUUGCCAGGACCUCCACUGGGGCUGAGGACUAGAAUGAAUAUACUCAGCCUCUCCAUUGUUGCCUGGGUUUCUUCACAACAUGGCAGCAGGGAUUGAAGAGCAAGCGUCCCAAGAGAGAGCCAGGCUAAAGUACCUUUCAUAGUCUAGCCUUGGAACACAUGCAGUGUCACUUGUGCUGUUUUCUGUUGUCUUCCUUAGAAAUGUGUCCCUAAGUCCAGCCCAUAUUCA
This 435-nucleotide long non-coding RNA is filed under the name Homo sapiens (human). RNAcentral's name for it is "non-protein coding lnc-ZNF395-5:1". The record is from RNAcentral. Lineage: Eukaryota; Metazoa; Chordata; Mammalia; Primates; Hominidae.